AGGAACGAGUCUCCCUCUCUUUCUUUCUCUUUCUCUUUAGAGUCUCUUGUAGCCGCGUACCAGUCCCACGUUACUGCCAUGUUGUUGCUGAAGCGAUAGGCUCUACAAACCCCGUGAAAUUAGCAUCGGUGGAUUGUAAAGGUAGAGCGAAAGGGAAAGAAGAGCGGCGCACGUUCCAAGCUUCGAUGCAACCUGACAAGUGACAGUGUCCUGUGUGUGUGUGUGUGUGUGUGUGUGUGUGUGAGAGAGAGAGAGAGAGGGAAAAGAUUCAAGAAUGAAUGGUCCAAGAGGAUAGAAACAUGUACAGAAGACAUCGUAUCCGUUCGGAUUUAAUAAGCGCGACCCAUAAUCGUGGUAUUUACGAGCGACACCAGAACUCUCACCGCGAAAUUAAAUUAUUGUCGUAAAAAAAGUUAGUCGACGAUCCUGUUGGUGCUGACGAUCUCAAUCUCAAUGUUUGAAACUUUGUUAUCAACGGCGACAUCGAGUUGUAAAGAACGUAUUGAAUUUUCAAAUUCGAAGAGAAAUGAAUUGGAGGAACUUACAUGUGAAAUUUUCUUUUAUUUUUGUUAUUUUUCAUAAAUAUCUUUAUUAUUACAAUCGAUGCUGACAUUGAAAGCUUGCAAAAAUUUGAUUAGCUUUCGCGAGAAGAAGAAGAAAAAAAAAUAAAUUGUAUAUAUCUAAAUAUAUCUACAUGUGUAUAUAAGUUACUACUAUUAGCUUAUUCGCUAACGAAGCGAUUCGCGAUACGUUUUCCGGUUCUCCGUCGAAGAACGUUGAAAUUUAUGUCGCAUAAAUUCGAGAUUAUAACUUGCCUUGGUGACUCCGUACCUAUUUCCGAUGGCAUUUAAAUUUCAUUCGGUAGAAGAAAUUGAUAAUCGACGAAAUACAAGUCAUUGGAUUAUGAUAAUGAAUAGUAAUAUUUUAAUUGAAAAAAAAAGAAAGCGAUCUAGAAAUGAUUUUGUAAAAUAAAAAGAAAAAAGAAUACAUCGGGAGAAAAUUCAAUAGUCGAUCGAAUCGUUGAGGAUACUUGAGAAGUGAAGACAGAGUAAAAACUUAUACUUGCUAGAGUUCGUGGACGUUUCUCUUUCACAUAAGACGCUCGACUAGUGACUUUUUUGCUAAGGGUGAGAAACUAGAAAGAGAGAAAGAAAGAGAAAGAGAGACACACAGAGAGAGAUAGAGAGAGAGAGAGAGAGAGAGAAAGAGAGGGAUAGAGAGAUAAAAAGAGAGAGAAAGGAAGCGAAGGAAAAAGGAAAAAAAAUGGGGUAGAGUGAGAGAUUAGGUUAUACGUUUUCCAGGAGAGUCGGCGUUGAAACAAUGAACCGACCAACCGGCGUGGUUCGUGCAAAUCUCCAAGCUUAGCGCCUCCAUUGUCACCCCCAACGUUCCUCCAACUACCCUCGUUGCGCUGCGGAAGGGUGCUCCGCGGAUUUAGACGGUCCUGUCGCCAUAGCAACUGCAGGCGGCGCUUACCUCUCGAACUUGCUUGAACCGUAUUUGGACGCUAGAAGCCACGAUACUUUCGACGACCAAUUUUCAAGGACGAUCACGAUGAAUUUGUCGUAAAAUGUUCAAUGAUCCUUCAGGAAAAUUUAUUCUUAUAGAAAAUCUUGACGAGGUUAAGAAGCCGAACGAAAGAUCAUGUGAUUAUCAAUUAGUUUCAAGAAAUAAUAGAUAAUCUCAUAUAUUAAUUAAAAAAUUUGUUAAAAUUUUGUCAAAAAAGUACGAACUUUGGAAUGAAUAAUUGUAUCGAGUGUCAAGAUGUCCAACGAAAAUGAUUCGUAAAAAACUCUUUGGAGUAACCCUCGGGAUAAAGAAGAGAAAAUAGACUUCGAAAAAAGUCGAGCCUUUUGUCUGGCAAAUGGAGACGUUUUCGGAACAUUCAUUCGUCCGUCGUCCGACAGGAUGAAACGCCGAGAAGGUUAUUUUUUCCAUUUGCCCUCGAAGUAACCUAUCCUGACCCUUGCUCUUGGCAACCCUCUUCCAACUUUUAGGAAUUUUACGCGUUUAUCAUGCCCUCGGAAACAACCGUAAAGCUCGACGUGUUUUUCCGUUUCAUUUUCAAACUUUCCUCACCUCGAUGGAAUAAUUUCGGUGAUCCAAGAAAAUCUUAGGGGAAUCUCGGCGUAGAUGAAUUCUAAAAUCUGAAAACAUUUAUCUUUUAUAGGCCAUAUACGGGAAAAGUCUAUCAUUCUUAAAAUGUUGGCGAUCAUGAUCGAACGUAUUUCUACCUUCAUAAAAUUUAGUGAAAAAGAAUAAAAAAGGAAUACUUAGAUGAAUUACAUCAGAAGGUAAUCAAAGGUCGCAAAUCACCGAAACCGUAGUCCAGGCUUGACGUUAAAAUCCGUGCAGAUAAGGGCGGUAGCCUCGCCCGCGGCUUGCAAUUCCCUAAAAAGCUCUGGUUUUACGGUAAAAAGAAGUGAAUGGCCGAAAAAUGGGAAAAAUGUUUCGCAGAUAGAAGCAAACUGCGGUCAAGCGUAUUUACUUCACUGCCAUUCUACUCUUUCCUCUAGAAAUUCUCCGAAAUGAAAUUAGCCUAGAAAGCCGUCCACGAUUGUAACUACCUCGCGUGCUAUCUAUGCGUAAACUUUUCCUUUAUUUUUAUCCGAAACGAAAGUUCAAAUUUAUUUUUGCCUACAUUAUAGAAAAGAAAAUAAAAUCUUAAGUGAACCCUGUCCAUAACGUAUUAAUUAAUAGAAAUGAUAGUAGAUAAUUGACGAUUAGUGAUAAUUAAUGCGGAAGAAACUAAUAAAGAGUCUCGGAAGUAUUUAAAACUUAACUGUCAGGUUCGUUGGAAUAAUGUAGGUGAAAGAAUAUAAAAAGAAGGUCGGUGGUCAAGUAUAGUAAUCAAGUGUGCAAGAGAGAGAAAGAGAGAGAGAGAGAGAGAAAGGAAAAAAGAAUAGAAAAGUAGAAAACGUAGACCCCGCAGCAGACAAGCGGCACUGGAGCCAGGAGUUGCUGCCAAAUGAAAUUAUCCUUCGAAAGCACCAGCAAUCUCGAGGGUUAAUUCCGCGAGAGAGGGCUGGUGGAAGAGGCCCACGCUGUUUGUUAUCGCGCAACAUCGGUAUCACUAGCGGGCAACGUUGCCUCAGGCUGACCAUAAUUUAAUACCGGCCACUAAUACGUUCCCUCCAUCGUUCUCUUGACCAGAUAAGAGUACCACCCCUUCGUUCGUUCUACUUGCGUUCACGGGGUGAGUGCAUGUAUAGUGAUCUCUCGACGUUCGAAGGUAACCACAUUUACUCGUCUAACACGAUCGACUAUCAUUUGUUUCACAGCUUAAUGGUAAUUGGUAACGUGAUGGAUUCCAUCAUAAUAUCAGCUUCAGGUAGGACCGAUGAUGCGUAGUUCACUGACUUGAUUUGGAUUUGAUAUUCAAGUUUCUAUUUUCUUUGCGAAUAUAUGAUGUUUCAUCUGUUUGUCUACGUUUGUAUGACAAACAAUAUAGAAAAGCUCAAAGAAAUGUAUCCUUUUAAUUUGGAGCAUGAUAAAGACUAAAGGUAUAAGGGACAUCUUAAGACCCAAGGGAAAGGUGGAUCUACGUUGUUCUGUUGAGACACUGGGGUUAUGAAAAAAGAGAAACGAAGUGGAAGCAAAGUGGAGCGAGGUACAUUCAUCAUAAGUUAUUAAACAAGGUAACAAAAGGCCACGGUGACUACGGAGGGUGCGCGAAAAAAAAAGAAAGAAGAAAGAAGAACGAGAAACGGACGGAAGAAGAUAGAAUCGGCUAACCGGUAGACUUUCUGCGAUGAUAGAUGGCCAGAAGGAUUAAGAUAUUCUUCGACUCUCGACGCCCUUCCUUUUCUCGGAAAUGUUGUUCCGGAAUAAAGAAGACGGUAGAUAGAGUAAAAAAUUUUUGUAGAAGAUAAAUACAAAAGUAUUGUAUCACGUUUAUCGAAAUAUUUGUUGGAAAUAUUUGAUCGACAUUUAAACAAGUUCGUUCAACAGUAGAUAAAUGAAGAUAGAUUUCUUAAUUUUCGAUCAAAUUAUGUUUUAUGCAUUUAUGCAUGUAGAAAAACAAAAUUCCUAAUAUUAUAUGUAGAUUAAUUAUUUUUGGAAUCCAGUUUAUAAUGUAACAAAAAAAAAAAAGGAAAGGAAAAGAAAUCUUUAAAGGAGUAGAAUUAAACUAAAAAAAAAAAAAAAAAAAUAGUCAGGAUAAAACGAUUCUUUAUCAUUAAUUUGGUAUGUUACAAUAUAUGAACAAUUUAUGAAAAAGAAUAAAAAUAUUAUGUUACAUUAUAAAUACCCAUUCACAUGUCAAUUUCGUUAUGAAACUUGUCGAAUCAAAAGAGUUCCGAAGAAGAAGUGGUGGUCGAUGAUUAACGCGACUUUUGUAGGCACAUUGAAGAGGGAUAUUCGUGUUUUCGGAUUCGAGGGAUGGGUUGGCAAAAGUUGGAGCUCGAACAAGAACGUGCCUUGCUGGCACACUAUCAUCCUACCAUAGCACAACACAACCCUCUAUUUUCGAUUCUCUUCACCCUCUACGUCCUACCUAUACUCCUCUUUCUAUCUGCAAUCCUCCGACGCGGCACCUACCCUCUCGUACCUGUAACAUCAAUUAAAAUUCUCGUGGUCGAUGCGCCGCUGUUUCGUGCGAUCGUACGCCGUUUUUAAUUGGAUUAGAGCGAGACAGCUAGAGGGAGAGUACCCGUGGAUGCCAACCGGUGGAUGAAGAGGAAGAGAUAGAGGAGGAAGGAGAAACGAGCUGAGGGUGCGAGAUUACUGAAAGGGGUUCGUUGGAUAUUCGAACGAGAGGGUUGAUAGUAAAAGAGAAAGAGAGAGAGAGAGAGAGAGAGAGAGAGAGAGAGAGAAAGAGGAAAAGAGAUAGAUAGAAAGAUGAUCGUCACAGACGCACUAGAUAGGCACAUAAGCACGCAAUGAAUGUAAGCACGUGUGUAUUCGAGAUUGUACGAGAUUUGUAAGCAACUUUGGAGAUCUUGGCAGACAAGCUAGGUAACUUUGAUGAAGACACGUUGUAAGAAUUUAGUUGAGAAGUAACUUUGUAGAAGAUCCGGCAUCUUCGUUUACUUGUCAGCUAUUGUCGAUGUCAGAACGAGAGAAGCAUAUCGAAGAAACGUGCCAGUACUAAGAUUAAUAUUAAACGAUGUGCUCUAAUUGGCCGGGCAAUUAUGCGGUGUUAAUUAAACAUUAGGAGUGGGCCGGUCCAGCCGGAUAAUGCAAACAUGGACGAGCCAUCUAGCGAAACCUUUCUAAAAUUUACCUUGAUCCUCUUACGCCAUCUACUUGCUAGAUUAUCAUGUUAACGAUUAAAUAAUGAAAAAUUUGUCACUAAGUACUAUUUCGGCUACAUUUCAGAAUUCCUCCUGAUCAAGAGUUUAUGUUAACUCUGUGAAUAUAAAUCGCUUAAUUAUUUUUAGGAAAAUAUCAUUUUACUUACCGUUAUUAACAGGGAUGGGAAAAUAAAUAACACACCUCAACUAUUAAUUUGUAAUUUAUGGUACUGGACGACGAAAGGAGACGCCUUCAUUUUUACAAAAGAAACAUUUUAUUACAUUCAGCUACGAUCAUAAUAUAAUAAUAUAUGCAGUGCAAAGUGACAUAUAUAACAACGUAUGGUUCAAUUUAAAAAAGAAAAAUUGCCGUUUAAUGCCAGUUUUCGUUUUUCGAAACUGUUCGAAUAUUUUCGGCAUCCUUGAUUUCUUCCCUCGAUGAGAAGUUUUCUAAGUAAACGAAAAAAUAGAAAAAGAUAUAAAAUAAAUAUAAAGUUGAUGAAAGUAAAUGGCAGUCAGCUUAUUAUUAUUAUAGGUAACAUAAACAUUUUCCUUUGCCCUGAUAUGUCAGAAAUCGGUGAAUACGAUAAAAGACUUUGCCACGGACCGGAUACGCAAUAAGUAUAAAUAUUAUAUGAGUAACGUGCUCUUUAAUUACAUUUAUUACUGUUAACAUAUUACUGUUGAUAUAUUGCGUGUACGUCAUUUUAUGAAUCAUAUAAUUUUGUUUUGUUAAGGUUGAAUAUCUCGUCGUUUCAUAGAAUCAAUAAUUUAAAUUUAUUUCAGUUACCAUAAUUAUUAGUUAAAGAACGCUAUACCAACGUACACACAUAUUCUAAUAAUAAUGGAAACGUGUCAGUGGCAAU
Molecule: long non-coding RNA, 6100 nt
Organism: Vespa velutina
Lineage: Eukaryota; Metazoa; Arthropoda; Insecta; Hymenoptera; Vespidae
Exons: 4
Source: RefSeq, a predicted model, not a curated record